UAAGCCAUGCGAGUCAUGGGGCGCGCUCUGCGCGCACCGGCGGACGGCUCAGUAACACGUCGGUAACCUACCCUCGGGAGGGGGAUAACCCCGGGAAACUGGGGCUAAUCCCCCAUAGGCCUGAGGUACUGGAAGGUCCUCAGGCCGAAAGGGUCUCUGACCGCCCGAGGAUGGGCCGGCGGCCGAUUAGGUAGUUGGUGGGGUAACGGCCCACCAAGCCGAAGAUCGGUACGGGCCAUGAGAGUGGGAGCCCGGAGAUGGACACUGAGACACGGGUCCAGGCCCUACGGGGCGCAGCAGGCGCGAAACCUCCGCAAUGCGGGCAACCGCGACGGGGGGACCCCCAGUGCCGUGGCAUAGCCACGGCUUUUCCGGAGUGUAAAAAGCUCCGGGAAUAAGGGCUGGGCAAGGCCGGUGGCAGCCGCCGCGGUAAUACCGGCGGCCCGAGUGGUGGCCGCUAUUAUUGGGCCUAAAGCGUCCGUAGCCGGGCCCGUAAGUCCCUGGCGAAAUCCCACGGCUCAACCGUGGGGCUUGCUGGGGAUACUGCGGGCCUUGGGACCGGGAGAGGCCGGGGGUACCCCUGGGGUAGGGGUGAAAUCCUAUAAUCCCAGGGGGACCGCCAGUGGCGAAGGCGCCCGGCUGGAACGGGUCCGACGGUGAGGGACGAAGGCCAGGGGAGCGAACCGGAUUAGAUACCCGGGUAGUCCUGGCUGUAAAGGAUGCGGGCUAGGUGUCGGGCGAGCUUCGUGCUCGCCCGGUGCCGGAGGGAAGCCGUUAAGCCCGCCGCCUGGGGAGUACGGCCGCAAGGCUGAAACUUAAAGGAAUUGGCGGGGGAGCACUACAAGGGGUGGAGCGUGCGGUUUAAUUGGAUUCAACGCCGGGAACCUCACCGGGGGCGACGGCAGGAUGAAGGCCAGGCUGAAGGUCUUGCCGGACACGCCGAGAGGAGGUGCAUGGCCGCCGUCAGCUCGUACCGUGAGGCGUCCACUUAAGUGUGGUAACGAGCGAGACCCGCGCCCCCAGUUGCCAG
RNAcentral lists this ribosomal RNA (1030 nucleotides) under Thermococcus sp. Pd70. Its description in RNAcentral is "bacterial SSU rRNA". It matches the Rfam family "Archaeal small subunit ribosomal RNA", at positions 45 to 1070 of the family's 1478-position model. Lineage: Archaea; Methanobacteriati; Methanobacteriota; Thermococci; Thermococcales; Thermococcaceae. The record is from RNAcentral.